Diospyros lotus (date-plum) is the source of this 5653-nucleotide long non-coding RNA. RefSeq lists it as uncharacterized. The record is from RefSeq and is a predicted model, not a curated record. NCBI's taxonomy places the organism in Eukaryota, Viridiplantae, Streptophyta, Magnoliopsida, Ericales, Ebenaceae. The transcript has 3 exons.
UGUCACGUGAAACUCAGAAUCUUUCCAGAAUUUUCUCCUACCUCACACUUCUUAUCCUGCAACUAUCUCGCCACCGGCAAGCCUCCGACUCUACUGGUUUGUUGUCGACUGCUGUGAAAGUCUUCGUCAGUCACCCCUAAGCCGUUGUCGCCCAUUGAUGCCGGAAAAAAGCCAAAAAAUUGCUGAAACUACCAUCUUUUUGUCUUCUCUGAUGAAACUGUGCCGUCGUGCUGAUGAUGAUCAAGUCGCCGAUCACUUCUUCCAUACCCAGUUGCCGCCUAACAUCACUCCGUGACUGUCGAUCAUUCCGACGGCAGUUGUGUUGUCUUGUUGCCAUCAACCACAUUAUUUCACGAUUGUCCAGAUUCUUUACCAAUUUUGCAGACAUCAAGGUGUUCCUGGCCAAAAAGGUAAUUAAUGAACGUUGAUGAUCUUGAUUCUUAACAAAACAAAUCAUGAAAACAAAUGGUAAUCUCUUAGAAUUAAAUUUGUGAAGUGUCUUUAGGUUUAAAAGAAAAGUAAUUAAUUAUGAAACGAAUAAAACUAAGUUUGAAAUUUUUAGAGUCAGACACUCUAUAUAAAAUAAUACUUGAGUUUUUUGAGAAAUUGAGAGCAUUCUUGAUGCAAUCUAAAAUACUCAAGUAUUAUAGAAAGUAAUACUUGAAUAUUUCCUUAAAAAAUUGAGAGCAUUUUAAAUGAAGUCUAAAACACUCGAGUAUUUUUUGAGUAACAGAGAAGGUCUUAGGUAAAAACCAAAAAUAUAUUUGAGUACGGAAUAAAGCAAUACUUGAGUACCUAGGGAUUCCUUUUGUCACAAUACUCAAGUACCAAAAAUGAUAUACUUGAGUAUUAGAAAUCGAAGGCCUAAAAAUUUUGAAUUUCUAGCUGUUAGAAAGGAAUCAUUUUACUUUGAUAUAUUACCGAAUGUGUAUUUGACUUUUCUCUGAUUGUUGCAGGUUGAAAACUUUAGAUUCAAGUUGCUUAUUUCAACUUAAAGAUUUAUCAAUAACAAGUAUGGACAGAACAACUACUACUUUCUAUAGCAGCCACCAGUGUAGCUGACUGGUCGACCCUUUUGUCUAUAUAAGGAUAUGAAAAAAGAAAAAAGGAACUAGAGCUAGAUAACUUAAAAAGAAAAGAGAUUCACGUUCAUUCUCCUUCUACAAUUUCUCUACAACCUUUACUGCCUAAAAAAUAGAGCUUUGUUGCAAAUUUGAGAAUCAUCCUAGUGUGUUUAUUGUAAAACACCUUGAGUGUUAUUUUUUGUGAGGAUUUCUUGUACUAUGAGUGUAUCUCACAAAUCUUCUUCCUUGAAUUGUAAAAAUGAUAUGUGAGGGGUUAUUGCUUCAGCUCUAGAAAAACAUUUGUAAGGUUAGAUGUUUGAGCAUGUGAAAAAACACAAGUGUUUGAGCCUAUGAAAAAACAUAGGUAAAGUCAAGUGUUUGAGCUUGCGUAAAAAAACAAAAGAUCACUAAGAAAGUGAUUGUAUAGAGGACAUUGUAUACCUCUUUAAAAAAACACUCAAAUAGUAUAUUUACAAAAUCCUUAACUAAGAGUUAAGGUAGUGGGUGUAGGCAAGUUGCCAAAUCACUAUAAAUACUGAUGUCAUCUCUAAUUAUUACUUUUUUAUUCUUGUUUAUUUAUGCUAUAUUUCAAUUUGUUAAAAAAAAUUCUAAAAGCUUAGUUCACCCCCUCUUAAACAUCACUUGGUUAAUAUCUUUUCAACUUCUUUAUCAAGUCUUUAUGCUAAUCCCUCGAAGAGCAAUUGUUUUGUAUCAUGUAGGGAUGAAACCUUGAGGGAAGUGUUUUAUCUUACUUUAGGUUUCAGGAAAGGUCCUUUACCUAUGAGAUACUUGGGGAUAUUUGUCUACUAAGUUAUCAUAUAGGGACAGUAAGCCUAUUAUAGAUAAGGUGGUGAGAAUAAGGUAUGCUUAUGGUGCAUUCGUUUGCUAUCAUUUGGCAGUCGACUCCAGUUAGCACACUCGAUUCUUACCACUAUAUAUUUAUAUUGGGCUUUGGUCUUCAUUUUUCCCAAGCGAAUAAUUAAAAAGCUUGAACAAAUAAUGCGUAACUUCCUUUAAAGUGGUAAUGAGGUUGAUUCUCAUAAGGUGAAGAUUGCCUGGAGGGAUGUGUGCUACCCAAAAGAGCAAAGGAGUUUGGGUAUCAAACCAUUAUAUGUUUGGAACAAGCCCUUGUUGCAAAAUUAAUUUGGUGGUUGCUCUCGGAUGAUAAUGAGUCUUUUUAGGUUAAAUAGGUUCAUACUUAUUGAGUGAAGGAUAAGGGUUUUUGGUUGCUUGAUGAGAAUCAUGGAGGGCCGACUAACAAUGAUGCAAUCGGAUAAGUCAACCUCGUCAACCAUGUCGGAAUUGGAUGAUUGACAAGAUUUGCGCAUAAAAAGGAAUGGUUAUUGAUUGGUUGGUUGAUUGCAAGAUUUGGGCGCAUAAUUGAUUGAUUGAUUAGUUAAUUGAUUGACAAGAUUUGAGAGCAUAAAAAAGGAAUGGAUGAUUGAUUGAUUACCUGAUUGAUUGAUUGAAAAGAUCUCGGAAUAUAAAAGGAUUGAUUGAUUGAUUGACCAGAUCUAGUUAUUUAUUUAUUUUCUAUGUAAUUUAGGAUUUUUAUUAAUUUCUAUGUAGAAUUAGGAUUUAAUUAUUCGCCUAUUUAAAGGCUUUUCCAUUGUAAACAUUAGACAUAAAUUAUUAUGAAUUUUUGAAUUUGAGAGAUUUAUCUAUUUUAUCUUGUUCUUCAAUGAACAAAACUUUGAACUUAUCAAUGGAGUGAUUCCUUUGUGGCGUUCAAAACUCGAACUUAUCAAAGAUCUAGGCAGUCUUUGUGGCGUUCAUUUUGUUUGAUAUUCCUUUGUGGCAUUCAAAAUCCGAACUUAUCAAAGAUCUGGGCAGUCUUUGUGGCGUUCAAAACCCGAACUUAAUAUAGUCUAGAUUCUUGGUUCGUGAAUCAACGGGUCGGGAAUUCUUUGCCUUCUAUCCGAUUUUGGCUUUUCUGGGGUUCAUUUCAAUCUUUUGUGGGUUCUUUUGGUCUUGUCCCAUCACGGAUUCACAUCAUUGCUCCCAGUGCCUUUCUCGUGUCCUUGGUAGUGGAAGAAACUGCUCUCAAUUUGCAAUGCGAUAAGACAUAAUUUUGGAAGAAGGAUAAGAAAUAGUAGGAAAGUGUUUCUGUGGCAUGACUAGUGACAUUCUCUUGGCGCUUGUAGAUAGAUUAUCUUGCCAAUUAUCUAUCACUACUCAUGUCUUAUAAAUCAUUGUAAAUGGCUCUUGGGUAUGGCCAAAGAUGUUUUCAUCACCAUAUUUAGUCAUUAUUCACGACCAGAUACUUGACCCCCUUGGGUUGGGUGUCAGAAUGACUUGAGAUGGCUACCAACCUCAAAUGGGGUAUUUUCUGUACGUUCUGUUUUGCAGGGUCUUCUAAUGCAAUGCCCAUGUGUCCCUUGGUAUCGUUUGGCAUGGCAUAGUAAUGAUAUUUGUAAUAUCCCAUAUCGAGUGAUAGGAAGGAUCGGAACAAUUUACCCUGAUGGGCCUACGCGAAUUUCCCAAGGGGUCACUCAUCCUUGAGGUUCCCCAGCUCAAGCAAGCUUAACCCCGGAGUUUCUUGCCUACAUUCAGCUCAAAAGAUGAUUUCUUUGCAAGGAGGUAGUAAAACGUCACAAUCACCUUUUCGUUAACUGUGCCUCUUGGUAUCAUCUGGCAUGGCAUAUCAAUGGUAUUCCUACUCAUAUAUUUAUUUUUUUUAUUAACGAUUAGGGAGUGGCUAUCUACUAUUGAUUGUAUUAACCUUUUCUUUCCUUCUUUGAAUAUAUGUUUUCUUUGCAAUGAGGUAGCAGAGCGUCAGAAUCACAUUUUCGUUAAUUGUUCCUAUUCCCAUAAGGUGCUGUCUUUUUUUCUUUGUUCAAAGAAAUUUGGAUGGCCUUGUUGUUGAUGAGAGAUAGACAUAUUAUGGGCGAUGACAAGGUGGAAUGGUAGGAACCCCCUGACAGGUUGCUGAUUAUUUGGUUUUACUAGCAAUGGUUUAUUUUCUAUUACGGGAGCACAAUAACAUAUGCUUUAAAAAACAAAAGUGAUUUGCAUCCUAGUUGAUGCAUCAGAUCUAGUAUGCCUUCUAAAUGAGGUUAGCUAUUAUUUGUUUCCCUUAUAUUUUAUAGAGUCAAGCUUUGCAACACUUUUGGCGACUUCCAACUGUCUAGUCUUUUUACUCCGCUGAUUUGAAUCGCUUUUGGUCGUUUAAGUUAUGAGUAUAAUUUGUACUUUACGUGAUUAUUUUGGUGAGUACACUGGGGUUAUUAGCAUAACUGUUAGUCUUAGAUGAUCAAAGCCAGCAUAAUUCUUAGGGAAGUUCAUGAAUUGACAAUUCUUUCUAGUGUUCGUUGUCUUCUCCACUAGUUUGGGCCGCUUAUGCACCCUAAGUGAUUUUUUUUUUUUUUUUGUGAGUAUCCCAGGGUUGGCAACUCAACUGUUAACCUUGGAUAAAUAAAACCAACAUGAUCAUUAAGAAAGUUAUUUUAUCUAAAUGUUUUCAGAAGGUGAUGGUUAUGAAGAUUUUCCCUAAUAGUUAUACAUAUUUUCCCUUAAUGUUAGGAGGAUUGUAUAUUUUUAUUAAUUAUUUAGAUUUUCUGGUGUUAUUUUUUAUUAUGUGGCUUGAGGUAUGCCCUAGUUUAAAGCUAUAGAUAGUUUUUUUGUACGAAAUUCUUAUUUAUAGAAAAAAUAUCUUUUCAACACACAUGCAUAUGCGUAUAUAUCCUACCUUUCAUAUGACAUUUGCUAAUUUUUGUUGGUUUUCUUUGAAUUUUACAAUAUUUCGUAGUUGUUCCAAAUUUUCAAUAUGUUGUGAACAAAUUUGAGAGAUUUUUCAUAUCAAAUUUGGAAGUUUUUUAAAUUACUCAAUGGAUUUGUUGGUGUACCGAUAUAAUUUUCUUUGAUUUUUUCACAAAUUUUCAACUUUGAUAUCUUACUCAUUUGUAGAUGGAAUUGGCGUGAAAUGUACUGACUUGUUCUCUUCCAUGUCCUUUAUAGGUGUAGUAAAAUGAUUUGAUUUAGUUUGUGAGUUUACUCAAAAUCUUGGCUCAAAGUGGCUUAUCCAAGUUGUGCGUCUUGUCUCGAGUAAUUUUUUUCAUAAUCUUUCGAGCUUGAUUAUUUUCAAUUCAAGGGUUCAUUGUGAAACCCAAUCAUACUCUUGCAUUUGUAGUUAUGCCUAUUUGACUUCUAUCUUUUGGUUUAUUUGAAUCGAACUUUGUUUGAAUUUUUGUUGAGGUUCAAAGUAGGUCAUCUAAUGAACUUAUUAUGUAUUUCAACUAAUAUAUGGCUUAAAUAACUUUUAAUAUGCUCGCUAAUUUCUAUGAACUUAUCUACUGUACCUAAUAUUGCAUUAAACCCAAUUUGAUCAGUUUGAUUUAAUUUUGUGCUCAAAGUUGACUCCUUAAUUGACCUAUGUUUACAAUUUUUGACUAAUUUCACUUAAGCGCAAUUCUUCGUGAAUUGAUCUUUGGCUCUCUUGGAUUCCUCCCAAGGCUUGGUAAUUCGCCAAACUACCAGAGUCUAGUUUCAAUUAAUUCAAAAUUAAUUUAAAUAUCUAAUUUUUUUAAAUAUUAUAGCUCCAACAUAUUUAUUUUCAACAUGUAAACUUUCUCAAUACAAAUAAAAUUUUC